RNAcentral lists this long non-coding RNA (809 nucleotides) under Gossypium raimondii (Peruvian cotton). RNAcentral's name for it is "long non-coding RNA (GRAI_LNC011258)". Lineage: Eukaryota; Viridiplantae; Streptophyta; Magnoliopsida; Malvales; Malvaceae. The record is from RNAcentral.
AAGUAUUCACAUUAUUCCAAUAAUGUCUUACAUUUAUAAAUUUAUGCUCUAUUUUUAGCAAACAAAUGAAUGCUCGUAUAUAAUAUUAAAUUGUUUCAUCAUAUAUAACAUAUAUAUAUAUAUUAAACUCGUAUAAACCAUAAAUCUGAAAUGCUAAAACCUUACAUCGCAACCCUUAAAUCAUUAAGGCUAAAUCGUAAAACAUAAACAUCAAUCCUUAACACAGUAAAUUUCAUUAUCUUAUAAGCCGUAAACUCUAACCCGAUAAUAACGCUGAAAUGUAAACUCUAAACCUUAAACUUCAAUCUCCAAGCCCUAAACCUAAACUCUAAGCCUAGAACACAAAACUGUAAUCUUAAAAUAAUAAAUAUUGUGCCACAAACCCUAAAAUCCCUAACAGUAUACGAUAAAACUUAAAUAUUAAUCCCUAAAACCUAAAAAUUUAUUUCAUUUUUUGCGGCGUUGUAAAGCCCAGAUUUCGCCCGGGCCCAAUUACAAAUAAAAAUAAAAUACCCCAGCCCAAUUAGUAAACCUGACCAGCCCACUACUCAAACCAAACUAACACCUAGCAACCCAACAAAAACCCUAGCCCAACAAUCCCAUAAACCUUAACAAGUUUUCAGCAAAAAAAACCUAGGUGCGCCGCACCUAGGUCUAUCUUCUGCCGCCCUUAGGCCUACCUCCAGUAGCCUCGCACGCCGCUGUUGCCCACUCGCCUAUCACCGGCCAUUCGCAUGUCUGACACCACCUGCAAAGAGCAAUAAACAUGAUAGAGCAAACAAAUAGCAAAUAGGCAAAAAAAAAAAAAA